Malania oleifera is the source of this 4356-nucleotide RNA transcript. It is a transcript of the gene named spliceosome-associated protein 130 A, with no coding region annotated. The record is from RefSeq and is a predicted model, not a curated record. The transcript has 5 exons. Lineage: Eukaryota; Viridiplantae; Streptophyta; Magnoliopsida; Santalales; Ximeniaceae.
AUGAAACUAGGACGCCAGCAACCAGUUAAUAUAUACUACGCGGGGGGCUACUACGGCGAUGGAUAAUCUUAAACCCUAGGGCACGUUCGCUCUCUCUUCUUCCCCAUUUUCAGCUAUGUACCUAUACAGUCUGACGCUUCAACAGGCCACUGGCAUAGUUUGCGCCAUCAACGGUAACUUCUCCGGCGGAAAAUCCCAAGAAAUAGCUGUUGCUAGAGGCAAAGUUCUCGAUCUUCUGCGACCUGAUGAGAACGGUAAGAUUCAAACCCUUCUCUCUGUUGAAGUUUUUGGUGCCAUUAGGUCUUUAGCACAGUUUAGGUUAACUGGGUCUCAAAAGGACUACAUCGUUGUGGGGUCCGAUUCGGGUCGGAUUGUUAUUCUCGAAUACAACAAAGAAAAGAAUGUGUUUGAUAAAAUUCACCAGGAAACCUUUGGGAAAUCUGGUUGUCGCCGGAUAGUUCCAGGGCAGUACUUGGCAAUUGACCCAAAGGGUCGUGCCGUUAUGAUUGGAGCUUGCGAGAAGCAGAAGCUUGUUUAUGUGUUGAAUAGAGAUACAGCAGCGAGAUUGACUAUAUCAUCACCCUUAGAGGCGCAUAAGUCGCAUACGAUAGUGUAUUCUAUUACUGGGGUUGAUUGCGGUUUUGAUAAUCCAAUUUUUGCGGCGAUUGAGCUGGAUUACUCGGAGGCUGAUCAGGAUUCAACUGGGCAGGCAGCGAGUGAGGCCCAGAAGCACCUUAUAUUUUAUGAGCUUGAUCUUGGGCUUAAUCAUGUUUCUAGGAAAUGGUCCGAGCAGGUGGAUAAUGGUGCUAAUAUGCUUGUCACAGUUCCUGGUGGUGGGGAUGGUCCGAGUGGAGUGCUUGUGUGUGCAGAAAAUUUUGUUAUUUACAAGAAUCAAGGUCAUCCAGAUGUUCGGGCUGUGAUUCCGAGGCGGGCAGAUUUACCUGCUGAGCGUGGGGUUCUUAUUGUCUCAGCUGCCACACACAAGCAGAAGUCUAUGUUUUUCUUUCUUUUGCAGACGGAGUACGGUGAUAUCUUUAAGGUUACCUUGGAGCAUGAGAAUGACCGUGUUACAGAGUUGAAGAUAAAGUAUUUUGAUACUAUACCCGUCACAGCCUCUAUGUGUGUGUUAAAAACAGGUUUUUUGUUUGCAGCAUCAGAGUUUGGGAAUCAUGCAUUGUAUCAGUUCCAGGCAAUAGGGGUUGAUGUUGAUGUAGAGGCUUCAUCAGCUACAUUGAUGGAAACUGAAGAAGGUUUCCAGCCUGUGUUUUUUCAGCCCAGGGGACUUAAGAAUCUUGUUAGGAUUGAUCAAGUUGAAAGCUUGAUGCCAAUAAUGGACAUGAAAGUCGUAAAUCUCUUUGAGGAAGAAACUCCUCAGAUAUUUUCACUCUGUGGGCGGGGUCCUCGUUCAUCCCUACGGAUACUAAGACCAGGGUUGGCAAUCAGUGAGAUGGCGGUCUCACAGCUUCCUGGUAUCCCAAGUGCGGUUUGGACUGUGAAAAAGAAUGUUAGUGAUGAGUUUGAUGCAUAUAUUGUUGUUUCAUUUGCAAAUGCCACCCUUGUGCUUUCCAUUGGGGAGACAGUUGAAGAAGUUAGUGAUAGUGGGUUUCUUGAUACUACCCCGUCACUCGCUGUUUCUUUGAUAGGAGAUGAUUCUCUAAUGCAAGUUCACCCAAGUGGUAUUAGACAUAUCAGGGAAGAUGGACGUAUUAAUGAAUGGAGGACUCCUGGAAAGAGGACAAUUGUAAAGGUUGGUUCUAACAGACUCCAAGUGGUUAUUGCAUUGAGUGGAGGCGAGCUCAUAUAUUUUGAGGUGGACAUGACUGGUCAGUUGAUGGAGGUUGAGAAACAUGAAAUGUCUGGAGAUGUGGCUUGUUUGGACAUUGCCCCAGUUCCUGAAGGAAGACAGAGAUCCCGUUUCCUUGCAGUUGGGUCAUACGACAACACUGUUCGCAUCUUAUCUUUAGAUCCUGAUGACUGUAUGCAGAUUUUGAGUGUGCAAAGUGUGUCUUCACCCCCAGAAUCUCUCCUAUUUCUUGAAGUUCAAGCUUCUGUUGGUGGGGAAGAUGGUGCUGACCACCCUGCUAGUCUCUUUCUUAAUGCUGGUUUGCAGAAUGGAGUUCUUUUCAGAACAGUCGUGGAUAUGGUCACAGGUCAACUAUCUGAUGCUCGUUCUCGAUUCUUAGGAUUGAGAGCACCAAAGCUCUUCUCUGUUAUCGUAAGAGGUCGACGUGCAAUGCUUUGCUUGUCAAGCAGACCUUGGCUUGGUUAUAUUCACCAAGGACAUUUCUUGUUAACUCCCCUUUCAUAUGAGACACUUGAAUUUGCUGCUUCAUUUUCAUCUGAUCAAUGUUCAGAAGGUGUUGUUGCUGUUGCUGGGGAUGCGUUGAGAGUUUUUACUAUUGAAAGACUGGGAGAAACUUUUAAUGAAACUAUGAUUCCUUUAAGAUAUACCCCAAGAAAGUUUGUGCUUCAACCCAAGAGAAAAUUGGUGGUUAUUAUUGAAAGCGAUCAAGGAGCAUUUGCAGCAGAAGAGCGUGAAGCUGCUAGAAAGGAGUGUUUUGAAGCUGCUGGAAUGGGGGAGAAUGGAAAUGGAAAUGUGGAGCCGAUGGAAAAUGGUGGUGAUGAUGAAGAUAAGGAUGAUCCCCUCUCUGACGAGCAGUAUGGUUAUCCCAAGGCAGAGUCAGACAGGUGGGCUUCAUGCAUCCGAGUUCUUGACCCGAGAACUGCAAGCACAACAUGUUUGCUGGAGCUUCAAGAUAAUGAGGCUGCAUUCAGCAUAUGUACAGUGAAUUUCCACGACAAGGAGCAUGGAACUCUAUUGGCUGUUGGUACAGCCAAAGGGCUGCAGUUUUGGCCCAAAAGAACCAUUACUGCAGGAUUCAUACAUAUCUAUAGAUUUCUGGAAGAUGGGAAAUCCCUUGAACUCCUGCACAAAACACAAGUGGAAGGUGUUCCUCUAGCUUUGUGCCAAUUCCAGGGCAGAUUGCUUGCUGGAAUAGGAUCAGUGCUUAGAUUAUAUGAUUUGGGGAAGAGGCGACUUCUCAGAAAAUGUGAAAAUAAGUUGUUUCCCAACUCAAUUGUCUCUAUUCACACAUAUCGUGAUCGUAUUUAUGUGGGUGACAUUCAAGAGUCAUUCCAUUAUUGCAAGUAUAGACGCGAUGAAAACCAAUUGUACAUAUUUGCUGAUGACAGUUAUCCAAGAUGGCUUACUGCAUCAUACCACAUUGAUUUUGACACCAUGGCUGGUGCGGACAAGUUUGGGAAUUUCUAUUUUGUUCGAUUACCACAGGAUGUGUCAGAUGAGAUUGAAGAAGAUCCAACUGGUGGGAAGAUAAAGUGGGAGCAGGGGAAGCUGAAUGGAGCUCCCAACAAGGUAGAGGAAAUAGUACAGUUUCAUGUUGGUGACGUUGUCACAUGUUUGCAGAAAGCAUCUUUAAUACCAGGUGGUGGAGAGUGCAUCAUCUAUGGGACGGUGAUGGGGAGCUUGGGAGCACUGCUUCCAUUCACCUCCCGGGAUGAUGUUGACUUUUUUUCACACUUGGAGAUGCAUAUGAGGCAGGAGCACCCUCCAUUGUGUGGGAGAGAUCACAUGGCCUACAGAUCUGCUUAUUUUCCUGUUAAGGAUGUGAUUGAUGGAGACUUGUGUGAACAAUUCCCAACACUGCCUAUGGAUUUACAGAGAAAAAUUGCAGAUGAAUUGGAUAGAACUCCUGGCGAGAUUCUAAAGAAACUUGAAGAAGUUCGAAAUAAGAUAGUUUGAGAUGGACUCCAGAGGAACAAAGGGCUUCACACUGAAGAUGGCUACAUUAUUGUGUGCUAGAGGUAAUCCUUCAAAUUGAAAGCUGUCAAGAAGCAAUAUAUUGGCGAAGGUGGUGGUACUCACGGUGUUUAUUAUGGCAUUUGAUCAGACCUGAAUCAGUUUCAGUAACAAGGUGAAUGAAGCAUAUGCCUAGGUUUCUUACUCUGGUCUCAUUCCUAUUGUUGGAUUAAGCUAGCCUAACAAUGUGAAAAGCACACGCUGAGAUGUUCUUAUGCAGUUCUUGUCGUUCCUGUCCCUGUCCCACUCCCACCCUCUCCCUUCCUCCUUUUCCCCUCGCAUUUGUUUGUCCUUUGUUGUUGUAAUUAAAAGCAAUAGCAGAUUUUUGUUUUUUGUUUUGAAUUGGAGCUCUCUCUCUCUCUCUCUCUCUCAUUGAUUCCUAUGUUUACUAACCCAGACAUCAAGGCUAUGUCCCCCGAAGCCAAUAUAGCAGUGGGAGUGUGGAGUUUGAAGCUUUGGAUUUUUUGUUGUUCAUGUAAAUUCAAAGCAUUGAACUGGAUGCUUCAAAUGCAGUGUUGAAUGUGGUAUUGUGGAAUUUU